GGUUCCAUAGCGUAGCGGUUAGCACGUCUGCUUUUCACAUAGAAUGUCCUGGGUUCGCACCCCAGUGGAUCCA
This 73-nucleotide transfer RNA is filed under the name Pteropus alecto (black flying fox). It matches the Rfam family "tRNA". Rfam says of the family: Transfer RNA (tRNA) molecules are approximately 80 nucleotides in length. Their secondary structure includes four short double-helical elements and three loops (D, anti-codon, and T loops). The record is from Rfam by way of RNAcentral. Lineage: Eukaryota; Metazoa; Chordata; Mammalia; Chiroptera; Pteropodidae.